Molecule: small RNA, 116 nt
Filed under: Macaca fascicularis (crab-eating macaque)
Lineage: Eukaryota; Metazoa; Chordata; Mammalia; Primates; Cercopithecidae
Description: Metazoan signal recognition particle RNA (ENSMFAG00000050532.1)
Rfam family: Metazoan signal recognition particle RNA
About the family: The signal recognition particle (SRP) is a universally conserved ribonucleoprotein. It is involved in the co-translational targeting of proteins to membranes. The eukaryotic SRP consists of a 300-nucleotide 7S RNA and six proteins: SRPs 72, 68, 54, 19, 14, and 9.
Source: Rfam by way of RNAcentral
GCUGGACAUGGUGGCUCAUGUCUGUAAUCCCAACACUUGGGAGGCUGAGGUGAGAGGAUCACUUGAGCCCAGGAGUUUGAGACUAGCCUGGGCAACAUAGUGAGACCCCAUCUCUU